Molecule: non-coding RNA, 550 nt
Organism: Parastrongyloides trichosuri
Lineage: Eukaryota; Metazoa; Nematoda; Chromadorea; Rhabditida; Strongyloididae
Source: Rfam
ACAAUGGAGAGUUUGAUCCUGGCUCAGGAUGAACGCUAGCGGCAGGCCUAAUACAUGCAAGUCGAACGGGAUUAUCCAGCUUGCUGGAUAUGAAAGUGGCGCACGGGUGCGUAACGCGUAUGCAACCUACCUUAAUCAGGGGGAUAGCCCGAAGAAAUUCGGAUUAACACCGCAUAAAAACACAGGAUAGCAUUAUCCAAUGUUCAAAUAUUUAUAGGAUUAAGAUGGGCUCGCGUGACAUUAGCUAGUUGGCGGGGUAACGGCUCACCAAGGCGACGAUGUCUAGGGGCUCUGAGAGGAGAAUCCCCCACACUGGUACUGAGACACGGACCAGACUCCUACGGGAGGCAGCAGUAAGGAAUAUUGGUCAAUGGAGGGAACUCUGAACCAGCCAUGCCGCGUGCAGGAAGACGGCCCUCUGGGUUGUAAACUGCUUUUAUUCGGGAAUAAACCUUAUUACGUGUAAUAAGCUGAAUGUACCGAAGGAAUAAGGAUCGGCUAACUCCGUGCCAGCAGCCGCGGUAAUACGGAGGAUCCAAGCGUUAUCCGG